Molecule: transfer RNA, 73 nt
Filed under: Felis catus (domestic cat)
Lineage: Eukaryota; Metazoa; Chordata; Mammalia; Carnivora; Felidae
Rfam family: tRNA
About the family: Transfer RNA (tRNA) molecules are approximately 80 nucleotides in length. Their secondary structure includes four short double-helical elements and three loops (D, anti-codon, and T loops). Further hydrogen bonds mediate the characteristic L-shaped molecular structure. tRNAs have two regions of fundamental functional importance: the anti-codon, which is responsible for specific mRNA codon recognition, and the 3' end, to which the tRNAs corresponding amino acid is attached (by aminoacyl-tRNA synthetases). tRNAs cope with the degeneracy of the genetic code in two manners: having more than one tRNA (with a specific anti-codon) for a particular amino acid; and 'wobble' base-pairing, i.e. permitting non-standard base-pairing at the 3rd anti-codon position.
Source: Rfam by way of RNAcentral
GCCUGGUUGGCACAGUCAGUGGAGCAUGUGACUCUUGAUUUCAGAGUUGUGGGUUUGAGUCCCAUGUUGGGUA